RNAcentral lists this ribosomal RNA (1040 nucleotides) under Annulusmagnus triseptatus. RNAcentral's name for it is "SSU rRNA". It matches the Rfam family "Eukaryotic small subunit ribosomal RNA", at positions 50 to 1101 of the family's 1831-position model. The record is from RNAcentral. Lineage: Eukaryota; Fungi; Ascomycota; Sordariomycetes; Annulatascales; Annulatascaceae.
CAUGCAUGUCUAAGUAUAAGCAAUUAUACCGCGAAACUGCGAAUGGCUCAUUAAAUCAGUUAUCGUUUAUUUGAUAGUACCUUACUACUUGGAUAACCGUGGUAAUUCUAGAGCUAAUACAUGCUAAAAAUCCCGACUUCGGAAGGGAUGUAUUUAUUAGAUUAAAAACCAAUGCCCUUCGGGGCUUCCUGGUGAUUCAUGAUAACUUCUCGAAUCGCAUGGCCUUGCGCCGGCGAUGGUUCAUUCAAAUUUCUGCCCUAUCAACUUUCGACGGCUGGGUAUUGGCCAGCCAUGGUGACAACGGGUAACGGAGGGUUAGGGCUCGACCCCGGAGAAGGAGCCUGAGAAACGGCUACUACAUCCAAGGAAGGCAGCAGGCGCGCAAAUUACCCAAUCCCGACACGGGGAGGUAGUGACAAUAAAUACUGAUACAGGGCUCUUUUGGGUCUUGUAAUUGGAAUGAGUACAAUUUAAAUCCCUUAACGAGGAACAAUUGGAGGGCAAGUCUGGUGCCAGCAGCCGCGGUAAUUCCAGCUCCAAUAGCGUAUAUUAAAGUUGUUGCAGUUAAAAAGCUCGUAGUUGAACCUUGGGCCUGGCUGGCCGGUCCGCCUCACCGCGUGCACUGGUCCGGCCGGGCCUUUCCCUCUGGGGAACCGCAUGCCCUUCACUGGGUGUGUCGGGGAACCAGGACUUUUACUUUGAAAAAAUUAGAGUGUUCAAAGCAGGCCUAUGCUCGAAUACAUUAGCAUGGAAUAAUAAAAUAGGACGUGCGGUUCUAUUUUGUUGGUUUCUAGGACCGCCGUAAUGAUUAAUAGGGACAGUCGGGGGCAUCAGUAUUCAAUUGUCAGAGGUGAAAUUCUUGGAUUUAUUGAAGACUAACUACUGCGAAAGCAUUUGCCAAGGAUGUUUUCAUUAAUCAGGAACGAAAGUUAGGGGAUCGAAGACGAUCAGAUACCGUCGUAGUCUUAACCAUAAACUAUGCCGACUAGGGAUCGGACGAUGUUAUUCUUUGACUCGUUCGGCACCUUACGCGAAAGCAC